Molecule: long non-coding RNA, 5478 nt
Organism: Musa acuminata AAA Group (dessert banana)
Lineage: Eukaryota; Viridiplantae; Streptophyta; Magnoliopsida; Zingiberales; Musaceae
Exons: 2
Source: RefSeq, a predicted model, not a curated record
GAAGACCCUAUUAUUCAUUGUUGAUAAAGGUAAAUUUCUAUUGACUGCUUUGGCUACCUCCUUUCCCCAUAGAGAUAUUGAAUAGGACGAACUAUUUUUUGUGCUACUGUAAUCUUGAAAAUGAACGCGCAAAUGUCCAUCAAAGGUAAGUAAAUACACCCGAAACAUAUAAAAUGCAGUCAAUCCUGCUGUGAAACAAGCUAUUAUUGCGAAAAUUGGUGAAUACAACCAACUAUCAUUAAGAAUUUCAUCUUUGGACCAAAAACAAGCAAGAGGUGGAAUACCGCAAAUAGAAAGUGUACCCAAUAAAAAAGUAGUUCUUGUAAUUGGAACAUAUCUUCUUAAACCACCCAUAAGAGCCAUAUUCUGACUUUUUUCUGGCGAAUAUCCAACAAUAGGUUCCAUUGAAUGAAUAAUGGAUCCGGAUCCCAAAAACAAUAAAGCUUUAGAAUAGGCAUGGGUAAUCAAAUGGAAUAAAGCAGCUCGAUAAGAACCUAUACCUAGAGCUAACAUAAUAUAACCCAAUUGAGACAUUGUAGAAUAGGCUAAACUUCUUUUUAUAUCUCUUUGAGCAAGAGCCAAAGUAGCUCCUAGUAGUACUGUUAUUACACCUAUUAAAGAUAUGAAAUUCAUUAUGUAAGGUAUAGCUAUGAAAAUAGGAAGAAGUCGAGCUACAAGAAAAAUUCCUGCUGCUACCAUAGUAGCAGCGUGUAUAAGAGCCGAGAUGGGAGUGGGUCCUUCCAUGGCAUCGGGUAACCAUACGUGAAGGGGGAAUUGUGCGGAUUUAGCAACUGCACCAAUGAAUAAUAAAGAGGCACACAAAGUAGCAAAUAAAGAACUGACACCAUUAUUAUGGAUCAAGUUAUUAGUUAUUUCGAACAAAUCCCGAAAUUCGAAACUACCUGUUAUCCAAUAAAAACCUAAAAUUCCUAAUAAUAAACCAAAAAUCCCCUACACGGUUAGUUACAAAAGCUUUUUGACAAGCACUUGCUGCAGUCGGUCGUGUGAACCAAAAUCCUAUUAAUAAAUAGGAACACAUCCCCACCAGUUCCCAAAAAAUAUAAAUUUGUAUCAAAUUGGAACUGGUAACUAAUCCCAACAUGGAAGCAUUGAAAAAACUCAUAUAAGCAAAAAAUCUCAGAUAUCCUUGAUCAUGAGACAUAUAAUUGUCACUAUAAAUAAGAACCAAGAUUCCAACAGUAGUAAUUAGUAUUGACAUAAUAGAACUAAGUGGGUCGAUCAAAUAUCCGAACUCUAAGGAAAAAUCAUUAUUGAUGGUCCAAGACCAUAGAUAUUGAUAGAUAGAACUUCCAUGUAUUUGUUGAAUAGAUAAAUUGGCUGAAAACCCCAUAACUAUACUUAACAGUAAAACACUAGGAAAAGCCCAUAUACGACGAAUAUUUUUUGUUGCUGUCGGAAUCAGUAGAAGUCCAAAUCCUAUUGACACAGUAACUGGAAGUGGAAGAAAAGGUAUUAUCCAUGCAUAUUGAUAUGUAUGUUCCAUAAGAAAACAAAAUGAAAUCUUUAAUAAUUCUACUAUUCUAGUCUAGUCUUAGUAGAAUAUUCUAUUCUGGUAAUUUAUAGCCAUAUUAUAUAGUAUAAUAAGAAAAAAGAGUUAUACCAAAAGGAGUACUUGAUUCUAAUUAUGUUUUAAUAAAAUUAUAUGUUUUAAUAGGUUUAAAAUAUAUUUUCAAACAGGUUUUAAACAUAUUCGAAAAUGCUUUUUUUAAACUAUUCUACCAGGGAAUAAGUAUAGAUAAUGACUAAAAGGAACAAUCUAUUUUGAACAAAACAAUACAUGUCUUUCACAUACAACGAUAAAAACUGGUAACCCUUUUUGAAUGGCAGUUCCCAAAAAGCGUACUUCUAUGUCAAAAAAACGUAUUCGUAAAAAUAUUUGGAAAAAAAAAGGAUUUUUAGCUGCAGUAAAGGCUUUUUCCUUAGCGAAAUCGGUUUCCACCGGACGUUCAAAAAGUUUUUUUGUGCAACAAACAAAUAAUAAAGUCUUGGAAUAAUCGGAAUUGACAUACCCGAAGAACUUCGAAUUUUUUAAGAUGAACGAUUCACAUUAAUUAAUGUAUUGAACUCCUCAAUAUCAAUAUGAGUUAGAACUAGCUGUUGUAGUAUGUAGAUGUGGUAUGUAGAAUAAAGGUAUGUAUAUCGAAUUCUGAAUAUUUUUUCUAUCUACUUUUUUCACAAUAGAAAAAUAUUUUUCUAUUGUGAAAAGUAGAGUAUGAUUACGAUAGAAAUGAAAAUUCUUUUGUUUCUUAUAUGCCUAACAAAAACCUAAUUAGUUUGGUAAAUCUUACCAUUAUGCAUUAUAUAUAUAAUGAAGAGACCAUUAUAUAUAAUAUGAAGAGUAUUAAUACUCUAAUGAUACUAAGGAAUGAUACUAAGGUGUCGAAAUCGUUAGAAAAUUUCAAAUUCUUUUGAUUUAGUGAUGAAAUUGUUAUACAUAUGAAAUCCUGGUUAUUUAAUCUUCUUCAUUGAAAAAAAAAAUAUUUUUUUUUUCAUUUUGUUUGAAUCUAUGAAAUCAAAUCGGAUAAAUAAAAAACGAAUCAAAAAAUAGAAAAUGAACAAUUCUUAGUUCUAUACCUCGACAGACAACAAAACUAUUGAGUUCUAACUGUUUUGGAAGAACUUAGUUUCUAGUACGCGAAAGUUUAUUAUUAAAACUAAACUUACUAAAACUAAACUUACUUUAUUAUUAAAACUAAACUUACAAUGAUCCCAACUAAAGAUUCUUUUUUUGAAUAGAGAUUCAAAUAGGAAUUUAAAUGAAUUUUGAUUUAUCGAUUCUAAUGUUUACUAAACUAUAUUGAAUCCUUGAUUCUCGACGAUUCAACAUGAAUUGACUAUUAUUAUUUCAAGUAAGCCGCCAUGGUGAAAUUGGUAGACACGCUGCUCUUAGGAAGCAGUGCUAGAGCAUCUCGGUUCGAGUCCGAGUGGCGGCAUCCUUGAAAUCCUAGAAAAUAAAUCCUCUAAAAGAGACACAAUGGAUCCUAUAAUGUAUUCAAUUCUCGAUUUAAAUUCUCUAAUGGGACCCCUUUUUAUGAUAUUUACAACUUUAGAACAUAUAUUAACUCAUAUCUCUUUUUCGAUAAUUUCAAUUGUGAUUACGAUUCAUUUAAUGAUCUUAUUAGUCCGCGAAAUCGUAGGAUUGCGUGAUUCAUUGGAAAAAGGGAUGAUAGCCACUUUUUUCUCUAUAACAGGAUUAUUAGUUUCUCGUUGGAUUUCUUCAGGACAUUUUCCGUUAAGUAAUUUAUACGAGUCAUUAAUCUUCCUUUCGUGCAGUUUCUCCAUUAUUCAUAUGAUUUCCAAGAUGGGGAACCAUAAAAAUGAUUUAAGCACAAUAACCGCACCAAGUACCAUUUUUACACAAGGCUUUGCCACGUCGGGUUUUUUAACUGAAAUGCAUCAAUCCGCAAUAUUAGUACCUGCUCUACAAUCUCAGUGGUUAAUGAUGCACGUAAGUAUGAUGUUAUUAAGCUAUGCAGCUCUUUUAUGCGGAUCACUAUUAUCAGUCGCUCUUCUAGUCAUUACAUUUCGAAAAAACAUCGAUAUUUUUUGUAAAGGUAAUAAUUUCUUAAUUAAACCAUUUUUCUUUGGUGAGAUUCAAUAUUUGAAUGAAAAAAGAAGUGUUUUUAAAAACACUUCUUUUCUUUCAUUUCGAAAUUAUUAUAAAUAUCAAUUGACUCAACGUUUGGAUUAUUGGAGUUAUCGUGUCAUUAGUUUAGGAUUUACCUUUUUAACCAUAGGCAUUCUUUGUGGAGCAGUAUGGGCUAAUGAGGCAUGGGGAUCUUAUUGGAAUUGGGACCCCAAAGAAACUUGGGCUUUUAUUACUUGGACCAUAUUCGCGAUUUAUUUACAUACUAGAACUAGAAUACAUAUUAGAAGUAGAACAAAUCAAAGUUUGCAAAGUAUGAAUUCGGCACUUGUGGCUUCUAUAGGAUUUCUUAUAAUUUGGGUAUGUUAUUUUGGAAUCAAUCUAUUAGGAAUAGGUCUACAUAGUUAUGGUUCAUUCACAUUAACAUCUACUUGAAUAAACUACACAGAUAAAUAAUUGAAUAAACUACAUAAAGAAUACAUAAGAACAUCAUCCCAUAUAUAUAUAAAAAGCUUCUUGUUUGUGCGAGUUUUUGAGAACCGUUUGAAUCAUUCCUUAUUCAAAACGGUUCUCAAAAACUCAAAAUGCAUCUCAUUACAAUUCUAAUUCACUUUAUUCUUUUGCAUUGUACAGCGAACGAUUUUAAAAAUCUUAAAAUCAAAGACAAAAAUUAUAUUUCCGUAUUAUUAAUGAAAGACUAUCGAUGAAAGUAAUUAGAUAGGAUAGCUUGCACCCUGUCAACUGAUAGCGAGAGAACGAAAUCCGGAUAAAUACCAAUACCUAUUACGGGUAGAAAGAUACAGAUUGAAACAAAUAGUUCUCGUGGUCCAGAAUCCGCAAAAUUAGAGUUUGGAACAUUGAAUAGCUUGUAUCCAUAGAACAUCUGACGUAACAUAGAUAAUAAAUAAAUAGGAGUUAAUAUCAUUCCAAUUGCCAUUACAAAAGUAAUUAGCAUUUUUGGCAUUAAAAGGUAUUUUGGACUAGUAAUUAUUCCAAAAAAUACUAAUAAUUCCGCAACAAAACCACUCAUUCCUGGCAAUGCAAGAGAAGCCAUCGAAAAACUACUGAACAUGGUAAAUAGUUUUGGCAUUGGGAUCGAUACCCCCCCCAUUUCGUCGAGAUAAACAAGACGUAUUCUAUCACAACUCGUUCCUGCCAAGAAAAAAAGCGCAGCACCAAUAAAUCCAUGAGAGAGUAUUUGUAAAAUGGCACCGUUGAGUCCCAUUCCGGUUAUAGAACCAAUUCCUAUAAUUGUGAAACCCAUGUGAGAUACAGAGGAAUAGGCUAUUCUUUUUUUUAAAUUCCGUUGACCGAGAGAGGUUGAAGCUGCAUAGAUUAUUUGAAUCGUUCCCACUAUUACCAACCAGGGAGAAAAUAUAGAAUGAGCGUGGGGUAAUAAUUCCAUAUUGAUCCGAAUAAGUCCAUAUGCGCCCAUUUUUAAUAAGAUUCCAGCUAGAAGCAUACAUGUACUGUAAUGUGCUUCUCCAUGGGUAUCUGGUAACCACGUAUGUAGGGGUAUAAUCGGCGAUUUGACAGCAUAAGCAAUAAGGAAUCCAAAAUAUAAUAUUAUUUCCAAUGCCACAGGAUAUGAUUGAUUAGUUAAUUUUGAAAAAUCUAAUGUGGGUUCAUUAGGGCCAUAUAAACCCAUACCUAGAACUCCUAUUAAGAGAAAAAUGGAGCCCCCCGCAGUGUACAAAAUAAACUUUGUGGCCGAGUAGAGACGUUUCUUUCCCCCCCACAUGGAUAAAAGUAAAUAAACAGGAAUUAAUUCUAACUCCCACAGCAUGAAAAAAAGUAAAAGGUCUCUAGAAGAAAAUAAUCCUAUUUGACCGCUGUACAUUGCUAACAUGAGAAAAUAGAACAAUCGCGAA